UCUCUGCCAACUAAUAUCCCUAGAAGUCUCCAGACACACACACACACUCUCAGUUGCUUAAACAGAACAGUCGCAUCACUUUUCUCAUUAAAAAAAUUCUCACUUCUCUCCAUCCUUUUAGAAGGAAAGCAUAGCUAAAAUUGGUCUCUCCAUAGCUAUCCACCUCGAAUGAAUCUGUAAAAGCUACUGCUGGAAUCCAACACUAUAAGGUCAAGAUAUGAGUCAGCAAAGGUCAGUAGCUAUUCCAAUUUUAGGACAAAUCUUUUUUUAACUUGAUAUGUAGUAGCAUACUCUAAAGAAUAUACUUUUCUCUGUCAAUCCCUUGGAGGAGGAUUGGUCUCUGCGAUUUCAACUCAUUCAUGAACUUCGAGCUGUGGUUGAAAGCAUAGAAAUCUUGAGAGCUUUUACUCUUUGACCAGAGCCAACUGUAGAGCCAUUUGAAUCUUUUGUAUCAAACCAAGACGGGGAGAUCUUGAAAUUUUCAUAAGGUUGCCCAAUGAAUAAUAUUCUCAUCUGCUAGGAAGAAGUAAAAACUAAGUCUACUAGGGAAUGUACUAAAACUAAAAGCUCUGAGACCGAAAGGUAUGAUUUCAUGAUUAAUGCCCUUUGAUUUGCUUAAACAUAUUAUUUCCUUAUUACUAACAUCUUUACUAUGAAAAUUCUCCGUUUGUAACAAUGAUCUAAGGCCAAAUAGCUUGAUAGAAAGAUGAGUUGAGAGAGGACCAAGGAUAUUUUUUUUCAUUUUACACCGACACGUAACUCUAGACUAAAGCAUUUCUUUAUUUUUGUUUCACCGACAUACUCCAAUUCUUUUCAACCUAAUUUCUUGCUACUUUUUGUUACAUCUUUUAGUUUCGCUCGAUUUUCUCUCAGGUAAGCUUUCUCUCAAUUUUUCUUUAAUCUUCUUCACUUCUUCUCUAAUUUUUCAACAUAUAGAGAAGUGUAGAGUUUCACAAAAUUUGUAAGAGUUAUGAUGGAAAUACUCUCUCCUCCACAUUUUCAAGAUCGGUUCAUUUGACUUCUUCUCAAUGACACAAAUUUUGCAAAUUUUAAGUAGGUUUUCUCUCAAUUUAUUACCUAAUAUUCUUCCAAUUAGAUUUAUCAAUUUCAUGGUUGAUGUUUAGUAGUGUGCCAACCUUCAUUUACUUCCUUUAGUGUCUUUUGUUGAUCUUUAAUAAGUACAUUAUCUGUAUUUAUUCUUCAAAACUCAAAACUACAAUCCAUGCUCUUGGAAUUGCAUUUCAUCUGAACUUAACAUUCUUAUAACACUCAAAUAGGGGAAAAGAUAUUAUUAGUGUGGAUGUUCAUCCUUCAGAUGUCAUUAAUGUUGCCAAAAGAUGUAAGGCACCACUAUUUGGGAAUAAGCAAAUAGUCGUGACUGAUGCAAUAAUAAUAGUCUAUAUGGAAGGGACAGAUCUAGCAGAAUUAAGUCCAUAUAUGACAUAUUAUUAGAUAGGUUGGUAUCUUUUCUCUCAUAUGUGCAUUUCUUUGAACUUGUUUCGAAUUGAAGCUUAAUUCUGUAUGAUGCGGUGCAUCAAAUGGCCUCGAUUUAUUAUCUGAAGAACUUAGUGUGUUGAGAAAUAUGAACUUAGCAGUGAAUGAGGAGAGGUACAAUGAUGCAGGUACGUCAAACUAAUUCUGUGAUUAUUUUAUUAGAAAUAUCUGUUAUAGUUCUCCUUUAAUUAAUUUGUUGAUAUAUCACAUGUAUUUGCUUGUUACACCUAUGUGAAAGGACAAAUUAAUGAGACUUCAUGAGAAGACAUGAACUCUAAAUCUUUUUUCAAGGUGUGGGAUCACCUUUAACGCGGUGGACUGGAGGAACUAUUCAAUCCAAAUCUUAUGUUGCACAACUAUCACAUCACUAUGAAAAAUGAGGUCGUAAGAGUUUAGCAUGUAAGACUUUUAUGCUCUCAAGAGAUUCGAACGUUAAGGUCAUUCAUGUCUAAGAUAUUACAGAUGUUUAUCAAGAAAGAAGAAGAUCUACCUCUACCUACUAAUCCACCAUUUGUCAAUGAGAAAAUCAUGGAAGUUCAUAGCCCUUGGGAGAGGUAUUCGCAUAGCCAAGGCAAUUUUGUUUCGAUUGUCAACUUCUCUCACAGUUCUUUUUAUCCUAGAUGAUGAUAUUUUGUGUCCUGAAUACAUCAUGAUCGAGCAGUUAGUUAUACAAUAAAUGUGUUUCAAUCGUAAACAAGUUGAGGUUGGCUAUCUGAAUCUCAAAUCCAUUUAAGCUUUGUCAGAAUAGAAAUAGAAUUGUAUAUAGUCACCUACAUAUAAAAAGGUUCAUGCAGAUUCUUUCGAGUGUACAAUUUUUACCCCUUUUUAUUUUAGAAGGAUGACAUUUUAUUUUGCACAUUCAAAAAAUAAAUACACAUUUUAUUUAAA
This is a long non-coding RNA of Capsicum annuum, 2382 nucleotides long. RefSeq lists it as uncharacterized. The record is from RefSeq and is a predicted model, not a curated record. The transcript has 4 exons. NCBI's taxonomy places the organism in Eukaryota, Viridiplantae, Streptophyta, Magnoliopsida, Solanales, Solanaceae.